UUACUUAUAUUUUUUGUUGUCUUUAGGCUGUGUCUUUUGUGAUAACUGAAUUUAUUCGUUUUGAUGACGUUUCUGUAACAGCUGUUGGAUUAGAGAGUUAUGUGGAGACGCUUUCUCGAAAAGGAAAUUCUGAAUUCAGUAUGUAUGGUUAGUAGUGUGGAGUUUGCGUGUAAGACCCUGGUGAAAGGGGAGGAGCUAGACGGUUCAUAGAGAAGUUGAGAUAAUGCAACAUUUGUCAGGGCAUCCAGGGUUGUGACGUUGAAUGUGGUUUAUGAAGAUUCGGAAUCUUUUCAUUUGGUAAUGGAGUUGUGUUCAGGGGGAAGGUUGAUUGAUCAAAUGACGAAAGAAGGUCGUUAUUCUGAAUAACGGGCUGCUAAUAUAUUCGAGUUGAUGACGGUGAUUAAAUAUUGUCAUGACAUGGGUGUGGUUCAUCGGGAUGUAAAGCUUGAGAAUAUCCUGUUAACAACUUCAGGGAAGAUUAAGCUUCCUGAUUUUGGCUUGGCAAUGAGGAUCACCAACGGUACUAUUUUCUUCUGUGUCUUGGUUAUAAAUAAAUUAAUUCUUUAUUUUUUAUACGCAGGAAGUUCACACAAGUGUUAUGCUUUGUGUAUCUAUGAUAUUGAUUAUAUAUCUGCUCAAACUUGUUUAAAUUUGUUCCUCACAAGUUCCCUUAAUUGGUUGACCGACAAUGUGUCAACUUUUAGUAGACAUAAGGUGCUUAGCUUACCUUGUAUCUUACUAAACCCUUCUUUGACUUAAUUUGACAACACUUGACGAAUCAAUGGGACAGAAGCUUUUACCAAGUCCUUCAUGCUUCCAGAUCCGCAUCACCCUACUUAACCCCAAAGCCUAGAUUCAAAUCAUCAUGAUUCAUUUGUGCACCCAAGUAGGCAAAACGAAAAGGUAUAAUAAUGUUGGAAGAAUUAAAUUUUAUGUGCAGUCCAAAGCGCUUUAUAAAGUUUUCGGUUCCAUAUAUCGUGUUGUUGGGUUGCAUUUUCACAAACUGAUUCUCUAUG
Long non-coding RNA from Helianthus annuus (common sunflower), 1016 nucleotides. RefSeq lists it as uncharacterized. The transcript has 3 exons. The record is from RefSeq and is a predicted model, not a curated record. NCBI's taxonomy places the organism in Eukaryota, Viridiplantae, Streptophyta, Magnoliopsida, Asterales, Asteraceae.